ACGAGUAGUGGUCACUUUUAUUGAGCCUAAAGCGUUCGUAGCCGGUUUUGUAAAUCUUCAGAUAAAGCCUGAAGCUUAACUCCAGAAAGUCUGAAGAGACUGCAAGACUUGAGAUCGGGUGAGUUUAAACGUACUUUCAGGGUAGGGGUAAAAUCCUGUAAUCCCGGAAGGACGACCAGUGGCGAAAGCGUUUAACUAGAACGAAUCUGACGGUAAGGAACGAAGGCUAGGGUAGCAAACCGGAUUAGAUACCCGGGUAGUCCUAGCUGUAAACAUUGCCCAUUUGAUGUUGCUUUUCCGUUGAGGGAAGGCAGUGUCGGAGCGAAGGUGUUAAAUGGGCCGCUUGGGAAGUAUGGUCGCAAGACUGAAACUUAAAGGAAUUGGCGGGGGAGCACCGCAACGGGAGGAAUGUGCGGUUUAAUUGGAUUCAACGCCGGAAAACUCACCGGGAACGACCUGUGCAUGAGAGUCAACCUGACGAGCUUACUCGAUAGCAGGAGAGGUGGUGCAUUGGCCGUCGUCAGCU
RNAcentral lists this ribosomal RNA (526 nucleotides) under uncultured bacterium. RNAcentral's name for it is "bacterial SSU rRNA". It matches the Rfam family "Archaeal small subunit ribosomal RNA", at positions 484 to 1009 of the family's 1478-position model. The record is from RNAcentral.